Molecule: ribosomal RNA, 976 nt
Filed under: Paenibacillus sp. UA-VH0412
Lineage: Bacteria; Bacillati; Bacillota; Bacilli; Caryophanales; Paenibacillaceae
Description: bacterial SSU rRNA
Rfam family: Bacterial small subunit ribosomal RNA
Source: RNAcentral
CUAUACAUGCAAGUCGAGCGGAGUUGUUUUGAAAGCUUGCUUUCAAAACAACUUAGCGGCGGACGGGUGAGUAACACGUAGGUAACCUGCCUGUAAGACUGGGAUAACUACCGGAAACGGUAGCUAAUACCGGAUAAUUUGUUUCUUCUCAUGAAGAGACACUGAAAGGCGGAGUAAUCUGCCACUUAUAGAUGGGCCUGCGGCGCAUUAGCUAGUUGGUGAGGUAACGGCUCACCAAGGCGACGAUGCGUAGCCGACCUGAGAGGGUGAACGGCCACACUGGGACUGAGACACGGCCCAGACUCCUACGGGAGGCAGCAGUAGGGAAUCUUCCGCAAUGGACGAAAGUCUGACGGAGCAAUGCCGCGUGAGUGAUGAAGGUUUUCGGAUCGUAAAGCUCUGUUGCCAGGGAAGAACGCUUGGGAGAGUAACUGCUCUCAAGGUGACGGUACCUGAGAAGAAAGCCCCGGCUAACUACGUGCCAGCAGCCGCGGUAAUACGUAGGGGGCAAGCGUUGUCCGGAAUUAUUGGGCGUAAAGCGCGCGCAGGCGGUCAUUUAAGUCUGGUGUUUAAUCCCGGGGCUCAACCCCGGGUCGCACUGGAAACUGGAUGACUUGAGUACAGAAGAGGAGAGUGGAAUUCCACGUGUAGCGGUGAAAUGCGUAGAUAUGUGGAGGAACACCAGUGGCGAAGGCGACUCUCUGGGCUGUAACUGACGCUGAGGCGCGAAAGCGUGGGAGCAAACAGGAUUAGAUACCCUGGUAGUCCACGCCGUAAACGAUGAGUGCUAGGUGUUAGGGGUUUCGAUACCCUUGGUGCCGAAGUUAACACAUUAAGCACUCCGCCUGGGGAGUACGGUCGCAAGACUGAAACUCAAAGGAAUUGACGGGGACCCGCACAAGCAGUGGAGUAUGUGGUUUAAUUCGAAGCAACGCGAAGAACCUUACCAGGUCUUGACAUCCCUCUGAAUCCACUA